UACGGAGGGUGCAAGCGUUGUCCGGAUUUAUUGGGUUUAAAGGGUGCGUAGGCGGCCCUGUAAGUCAGUGGUGAAAUACUGCAGCUUAACUGUAGCAUUGCCAUUGAUACUGUAGGGCUUGAGUACAGAUGCCGUUGGCGGAAUAUGACAUGUAGUGGUGAAAUACAUAGAGAUGUCAUAGAACACCGAUUGCGAAGGCAGCUGACGAAACUGUAACUGACACUGAGGCUCGAAAGUGCGGGGAUCAAACAGG
Molecule: ribosomal RNA, 253 nt
Filed under: uncultured bacterium
Lineage: Bacteria
Description: partial 16S ribosomal RNA
Rfam family: Bacterial small subunit ribosomal RNA
Source: RNAcentral